RNAcentral lists this small nuclear RNA (300 nucleotides) under Panthera tigris altaica (Amur tiger). RNAcentral describes it as "7SK RNA (ENSPTIG00000000218.1)". It matches the Rfam family "7SK RNA". Rfam says of the family: 7SK was discovered as an abundant small nuclear RNA in the mid-70s but a possible function has only recently been suggested. Two independent studies have found that 7SK RNA binds the CDK9/cyclin T complex (known as elongation factor P-TEFb). Lineage: Eukaryota; Metazoa; Chordata; Mammalia; Carnivora; Felidae. The record is from Rfam by way of RNAcentral.
GGGCAUGAGGGUAAUCUGGCUGCUACACCUGUCUCGGCAUUGAUCGUCAGGGUUGAUUCGGCUGACCUGGCUGGUGAGGUGCGUUUCCCUUCCUCCCUCCCUGCUCCACGUGCAUCCCUCCCAAAGCUGUGAAGCUGCGCUUUAGGUGGAAGAGGACCUUCUUUGGUCAAGGGUAUAGGAGUAGCUGUGCUCCCCUGCUAGAACCUUCAGAUAAACUCUCAAGCACCAUUUGUAGGAGAAAGCAGGGCAGUCAAGUCUCCAAGACUCGGAGACACUGCAUGUUUACGGCGGCCUUAAUUA